GGCCUCGUAGCUCAGUUGACUAGAGCGUUGGCUGUACUAAAGCCCUUCAAAUGCUGAAGUGGGUUCAAACCCCACCGAGUCCA
Molecule: transfer RNA, 83 nt
Filed under: Schistocephalus solidus
Lineage: Eukaryota; Metazoa; Platyhelminthes; Cestoda; Diphyllobothriidea; Diphyllobothriidae
Rfam family: tRNA
About the family: Transfer RNA (tRNA) molecules are approximately 80 nucleotides in length. Their secondary structure includes four short double-helical elements and three loops (D, anti-codon, and T loops). Further hydrogen bonds mediate the characteristic L-shaped molecular structure. tRNAs have two regions of fundamental functional importance: the anti-codon, which is responsible for specific mRNA codon recognition, and the 3' end, to which the tRNAs corresponding amino acid is attached (by aminoacyl-tRNA synthetases). tRNAs cope with the degeneracy of the genetic code in two manners: having more than one tRNA (with a specific anti-codon) for a particular amino acid; and 'wobble' base-pairing, i.e. permitting non-standard base-pairing at the 3rd anti-codon position.
Source: Rfam by way of RNAcentral